Molecule: ribosomal RNA, 505 nt
Filed under: uncultured bacterium
Lineage: Bacteria
Description: partial 16S ribosomal RNA
Rfam family: Bacterial small subunit ribosomal RNA
Source: RNAcentral
GACGAACGCUGGCGGCGUGCCUAAUACAUGCAAGUAGAACGCACAGUUUAUACCGUAGCUUGCUACACCAUAGACUGUGAGUUGCGAACGGGUGAGUAACGCGUAGGUAACCUGCCUGGUAGCGGGGGAUAACUAUUGGAAACGAUAGCUAAUACCGCAUAAUAUUAAUUAUUGCAUGAUAAUUAAUUGAAAGGUGCAAUUGCACCACUACCAGAUGGACCUGCGUUGUAUUAGCUAGUAGGUGAGGUAACGGCUCACCUAGGCGACGAUACAUAGCCGACCUGAGAGGGUGAUCGGCCACACUGGGACGGAGACACGGCCCAGACUCCUACGGGAGGCAGCAGGAGGGAAUCGUCGGCAAUGGACGAAAGUCUGACCGAGCAACGCCGCGGGAGUGAAGAAGGUUGUCGGAUCGUAAAGCUCUGUUGUAAGAGAAGAACGGGUGUGAGAGUGGAAAGUUCACACUGUGACGGUAUCUGACCAGAAAGGGACGGCUAACUACGUG